GAUGAACGCUGGCGGCGUGCCUAAUACAUGCAAGUCGAGCGAACAGACGAGGAGCUUGCUCCUCUGACGUUAUCGGCGGACGGGUGAGUAACACGUGGAUAACCUACCUAUAAGACUGGGAUAACUUCGGGAAACCGGAGCUAAUACCGGAUGAUAUAUUGAACCUCAUGGUUCAAUAGUGAAAGACGGUUUUGCCGUCACUUAUAGAUUGAUCCGCGCUGCAUGAGUUGGUUGGCAAGGUAACAGCUUACCAAGGCAACGAUGCGUAGCCGACCUAAGAGGGAGAUCGGACACACUGGAUGAGAGACACGGCACAGACUCCUACGGGAGGAAGCAGUAGGGACUCUUCCGCAAUGGGGGAAAGCGUGACGGAGCAACGUCGCGGGAGGGAUGAUGGUGUACGGAUGGGAAAACUCUGUUAGUAGGGAAGAACAAAUGUGUAAGUACCUAUGCACGUCAUGACGGUACCGAGUCAGAAAGCCACGGCUAACUACGUG
Molecule: ribosomal RNA, 497 nt
Filed under: uncultured bacterium
Lineage: Bacteria
Description: partial 16S ribosomal RNA
Rfam family: Bacterial small subunit ribosomal RNA
Source: RNAcentral